Long non-coding RNA from Oryzias latipes (Japanese medaka), 1835 nucleotides. RefSeq lists it as uncharacterized. Lineage: Eukaryota; Metazoa; Chordata; Actinopteri; Beloniformes; Adrianichthyidae. The record is from RefSeq and is a predicted model, not a curated record.
AAGUCUGAAACCAAGAUGGAAUUGUUUUCUUGCAGACUCUAAAUUCUCUUUCGCAUUAUCAAUUAAAGCCAAGUGGUUCCAGGUUCUCCUUCUUUUCUUGUCACUCAUUUCUGUACGUUUUUGUGUGGAUGUUGUCUCUUCUAGUCUUUUGUUUCACCUGGCGCUCUAAUCCACAACACUAAAGUUCAUGAUGAACAAAAAUGCAAGAGAAGAUAAGAAGAAAACAUACACAAUGACAAUCCCUAGUAUUAUAGUAUGGCAUUUGCAUUAGUUUAGAACUCUAGUUUUAUUUUAUUUUAUAAUCAUCUACCCUUCAUGUUCAUCACAUAUGAACGCAUAUUAAAUAAUCUAAUAACUGAUUUCGGACAGAAUCGAGCAUCGAGUAUCAAAUCGCGAUGUUUUAAACCAAUCAGUUUUUACGGAUGUUCGGCCUGGUUUUUUCCUAAAGUAGAGCUUUCUAUCUAUCCACAGUAAUUCUAAAUACUGAAUUUAAACCAAUAGACAUCCCUGAAAAUAGCAAUGUUAAUUAAAAACACAACCAUCUUUUCACAAUUUCCCAUAAACUGCAUAAGCACUGCAUAAAACUGAUAAUUUGUGUAAAGUGUGAAACUGCUGACACAGUUUCAUAUUUCCAAUUACUAAUAAUUAAUAGUUUACAAAUAAUUCUUAUUUGUUAAAAAAUUAUUCUUAUUUGUAAACUGUGUAGGAAUAUGACAUUAUGUUGUCAUAGUACUGUCACAAAAGGAACAAAUCAACCCAAUUGAUGAAAAAGAAAACGCAGAAAAAACUGUUUCGACUUGAAAGCAUGGAACGUCUUGUUUCUGUCAGCAAAAAAGAGGAACAAAAACAAAGCUGGGGAAUCACAGUUAACAAAAAUAUAUUGUGUCUUACAAAAUCAUUAAUAGCUUUGGUGAUAGAACUUAAAAUAUAUACAAAAAACAAGAACUAUGAUUAUAAUAUGAUUUGUUUAUUGCUUUGUGCCCAGAGGCCAACCAGACUAAACUCACACAACCAGUUUAGCUUUACUUCUACUUUUACCUCCUAUGUUCGGCUGUGGAUGUGGAACGGUGAAGCUAAGUUUUUAUAUUUUAUAUAUCUCCAUGAUUGAAUCAGAGAAGAAAACAGAGACUUCUCAGUCCUCAAUUGAUGGUCUGCCUGAAGAUCAUGAGGACCGCAACCAACCUGAGAGAACUGAGGUGGAAAGAAGCAAUUCUUCUCCAAGAUCUGUGUGCUGUAGAAGGGAAAGGUCCAAGGAUUCUCCUGUUUAUUUCAACACAGGAGAAGCAUCAACAAAGUAAAAAAACUAUUUUUAGUGAGUGAACUCACAGAACUGAGCUAAACUUGUCUCCUCACACUUAUUAUGAUUAAGAGAUGAUAACUCAUUAAAUGUCUUCUGAAGCGAGUCGUGCCAUUUGCCUUUCUUUGAGACCUUUUACCGCUUAUCCAAGUGACUUCAUCAGUUGAAGCCCCACAUAUAUCCUCCAGAUGCAUCACCCACAUUCCAUUCUUGCCAAUGAGCGGCUCAUUAAGUGGAAUAAUGAAGAGAAACCUGAAUAAAUAGCUUCUCCUUCUGUAAACCCUCAUUGGGUUGUUGGGUGUUGUUGUGCUGGAGUUUUGGUUGUCUUUGGAACUAUUGAAAGGGCAGCAUGAUGAACAUGAAACAAAAUGUGUCUGACAACUCCCUGUCUGUUGAGGGUAGGAAGGGCUAUUAAUAUGUGCAUGUAUUGCUUCUCUGACGUCUAAGCCACAUCCCUUUCCUGUCAAGAAUCUGUCCAUUUUGGUCUUUAAAUGAUUGUCCUUUGUCUUUUCAAUGUGAAUAAACAGAAUCUGGUGUU